ACUCAAAGGAAUAGACGGGGGCCCGCACAAGCAGCGGAGCAUGUGGUUUAAUUCGACGCAACGCGAAGAACCUUACCUGGGCUUGACAUGUGCCUGACCGCCCUGGAAACAGGGUUUCCCUUCGGGGCAGGUUCACAGGUGGUGCAUGGCUGUCGUCAGCUCGUGUCGUGAGAUGUUGGGUUAAGUCCCGCAACGAGCGCAACCCCCGUCGCAUGUUGCCAGCAUUAAGUUGGGGACUCAUGCGAGACUGCCGGUGACAAACCGGAGGAAGGUGGGGAUGACGUCAAGUCAUCAUGCCCCUUAUGUCCAGGGCUACACACGUGCUACAUUGGCGCGUACAGAGGGUUGCAAGACCGCGAGGUGGAGCGAAUCCCUCAAAGCGCGUCUCGGUUCGGAUUGCAGGCUGAAACCCGCCUGCAUGAAGGCGGAGUUGCUAGUAAUCGCGGAUCAGCAAUGCCGCGGUGAAUACGUUCCCGGGCCUUGCACACACCGCCCGU
Molecule: ribosomal RNA, 497 nt
Filed under: uncultured bacterium
Lineage: Bacteria
Description: bacterial SSU rRNA
Rfam family: Bacterial small subunit ribosomal RNA
Source: RNAcentral